AUUUGAAAAAGACCUGAAGGUUGCUGAAGUUAUGAGCCAAGCAGAUACGUCUGGGAAAGUGGUUUAGAUGCAUGUGCCAAGACCCCAAGGAAAGGCCCUGUCUGAGAUGUCAGAAGGACAAAUGAGGAGGCCAGUGAAUGUGAUGUGCUUUAUUGCUUGCUCUUUCUGGCCCUUAACUCUGGGCCUGAUAUCUUGUGGGCAUCUGUGGAAUAUGUGGACUCUGAGAAGUAAGACUCAGUCACAAGAAUUGGCCAAUGCCAGCUUGGAUAUAAAUGACUCAGAAAUCUGCAGAGCAAGCCUAGGAUGGGCCAAAGAAAGAAACCGGGGGCUUCCUGGAGGAGGUGAGGGUAUAAACCUGAAGGCUGUUCUCUAAAUCAUUCCUGCUUCUGCAAAGCCUCAUGAUGGCUAGAAGUAAGAGUUAGCCCCUCUCAAGUCCUUCUUAAGAACAUGCACAGCCCUGGCAUGUGUGUGGCCUUCAGUUUUCCAUGAAUAUGUCAGAGCUUUUCAAAUCCCCUAAGACCAUCUCACUCAGCAUAUAUAUUAGGGGAAGAAAAAAUACCCAUUUUUUUAUUGGUAUGUUCUAGCAUAGACUGAUAAAAUACCUCUUCCAACCCUUAAUUUUGAAGAACUAUCUACUGAUCAAAUAUUUGGUCUUCUUGCUGACCUCCGGGAGUCCAAAGUCUCCUCAGAAAGGUCACGAGGUUUACCUUCCUGCCCCCCUGUGCUUGCUUACAUCCCGUUUUCAAUUUUCUUAUUAUACACUGGGUGAACGUCCUGGUACUAAACUCACACU
RNAcentral lists this long non-coding RNA (793 nucleotides) under Marmota monax (woodchuck). The record is from RNAcentral. Lineage: Eukaryota; Metazoa; Chordata; Mammalia; Rodentia; Sciuridae.